Molecule: ribosomal RNA, 252 nt
Filed under: uncultured bacterium
Lineage: Bacteria
Description: partial 16S ribosomal RNA
Rfam family: Bacterial small subunit ribosomal RNA
Source: RNAcentral
UACGUAGGUCCCGAGCGUUGUCCGGAUUUAUUGGGCGUAAAGCGAGCGCAGGUGGUUUAUUAAGUCUGGUGUAAAAGGCAGUGGCUCAACCAUUGUAUGCAUUGGAAACUGGUAGACUUGAGUGCCGGAGAGGCAGGCGGAAUUCCUAGUGUAGCGGUGAAAUGCGUAGAUAUUAGGAGGAACACCAGUGGCGAAGGCGGCCUGCUGGACGGUGACUGACGCUGAGGCUCGAAAGCGUGGGGAGCAAACAGG